UUUUCAUAACUCUCAAACAUCUCCUCAAGUUCUAAGCUUUUAAAUCAUUCUCUGGAGCAUCCUACCUUGGAAGGAAGCUCUCUUAGUCUUAAUCUUCAUGCUAAGGACUCUUGAGCCCGGUAAAAGCUAUCUGUACUUGCUGAUUGAUAUACGGCUGGGAAUAAAAUUUUAUUUUUAGCUCAGAUACUACGCGAAAUGGGCUGGCUACUCCUAGUAUCAAAUAAAGAGUCUUGCAAGCUUUUGAUGCUUAAAUCUGUUGAACAAUAUUUCUUUUUAUUUUAGAUCCGCCUGUGGAUCCACUUACAAUCCGUUGUGUAAUAUUUUAUGUUACUUUCAAUUCGGUUUGUAUAAUUAAUACUUUAGACUUCCGCCAUUCAAUGAACUGUGAUUAUUU
This 394-nucleotide long non-coding RNA is filed under the name Helianthus annuus (common sunflower). RNAcentral describes it as "sRNA HanXRQr2_Chr06g0245971". Lineage: Eukaryota; Viridiplantae; Streptophyta; Magnoliopsida; Asterales; Asteraceae. The record is from RNAcentral.